AACGAACGCUGGCGGCAUGCCUAACACAUGCAAGUCGAACGAGACCUUCGGGUCUAGUGGCGCACGGGUGCGUAACGCGUGGGAACCUGCCCUUAGGUUCGGAAUAACUCCCCGAAAGGGGUGCUAAUACCGGAUAAUGUCUGCGGACCAAAGAUUUAUCGCCUUGGGAUGGGCCCGCGUUGGAUUAGCUAGGUGGUAGGGUAAAAGCCUACCACGGCGACGAUCCAUAGCUGGUCUGAGAGGAUGAUCAGCCACACUGGGACUGAGACACGGCCCAGACUACUACGGGAGGCAGCAAUGGGGAAUCUUGGACAAUGGGCGGAAGCCUGAUCCAGCAAUGCCGCGUGAGUGCUGAAGGCCUUAGGGUUGUAAAGCUCUUUUACCCGGGAUGAUAAUGACAGUACCGGGAGAAUAAGCUCCGGCUAACUCCGUG
RNAcentral lists this ribosomal RNA (433 nucleotides) under uncultured bacterium. RNAcentral describes it as "partial 16S ribosomal RNA". It matches the Rfam family "Bacterial small subunit ribosomal RNA", at positions 29 to 507 of the family's 1533-position model. The record is from RNAcentral.